Molecule: ribosomal RNA, 406 nt
Filed under: uncultured bacterium
Lineage: Bacteria
Description: partial 16S ribosomal RNA
Rfam family: Bacterial small subunit ribosomal RNA
Source: RNAcentral
AUUGAACGCUGGCGGCAGGCCUAACACAUGCAAGUCGAACGAGUGGCGGACGGGUGAGUAAUGUCUGGGAAACUGCCCGAUGGAGGGGGAUCACUACUGGACACGGUCGCUAAUACCGCAUACCCUCGGAUGUGCCCAUAUGGGAUGAGCUAGUAGGUGGGGUAACGGCUCACCUAGGCGACGCUCCCUAGCUGGUCUGAGAGGAUGAACAGCCACACUGGAACUGAGACACGGUCCAGACUCCUACGGGAGGCAGCAGUGGGGAAUAUUGCACAAUGGGCGCAAGCCUGAUGCAGCCAUGCCGCGUGUAUGAAGAAGGCCCUCGGGUUGUAAAGUACUUUCAGCGAGGAGGCGUUACUGGCAGAAGAAGCACCGGCUAACUCCGUGCCAGGAGCCGCGGUAAUUC